Molecule: long non-coding RNA, 1255 nt
Filed under: Linum usitatissimum (flax)
Lineage: Eukaryota; Viridiplantae; Streptophyta; Magnoliopsida; Malpighiales; Linaceae
Description: long non-coding RNA (LUSI_LNC002320)
Source: RNAcentral
CUUCCUCCAUAUUCCAACUCAUAGUAAGUUCCUUCCGAAUAUUUUCUGCUUCAGUUGCCCGUUCCACGGAGCCUGGUUGUGCAUUUAUCACAUCGAGCUGCUCCAUCAAGCCCUUAAUUCGUGUACUAUUACGUCCAUCAAGCCCUUAAUUCGUGCACUAUUACGUCCAAUAGUAUCAUUCCUCCAUUGUACAAGUCGACGCGAGCAGUCUCGUAAGUUUACCGAGCUGGUCCUUUCUUCCAUCUUGCCUCAACUGUACUUCUAUAGCUCUCUUCUGCCAUCCAACUGACUUCGAACUUAAAUCUUCUUCGUCCACUAGCCCUUCUGAUUUCCAUAUUGUACAACACAUUCGAUAAUCUCUAAGUCGAUCCCAUAUUGUACACUUCUAAGUCGAUAUGUAACAUAUACAAAUAUCGAGACGGGUGCAUAACAAGGUCAAAAAAUACUUGUGUACAAUUAACAGCGGGACGAGAAUGGAAGAAACCUUGCAUGACAUUAUCGACAAAAAUAUGUUUCGAGAAAUGUACAAUUACGACGCUUCUAAAGUUUCACUAAUUGCACUCAUUUAUCUAUGCAACACUUCUACUCGCUUCGCCUCUAGUGUCUUCGUUGUCGUUUAUACUUUUCUUUGUCUCGAUCCUCAUUCUCGUCCGCUCAUAGGUUAAGACAUGUCGACGGGAAUGGAGUUGCGAUCCUACCAGCACUAAUGUACCACAUUCAUCAACACUCAAUAGGAAUGAAGUAGCAGUACCUACAAACAAGACACAAAACAAAUGAAUAACCAACUUUGAUCGAUCCAAUUUAUAAAAUUUAAGACCAUUAAGUAACAUUUGAAACUUUCGAGACCAAGCUUGAAUUAGCUUAAAUAACUAUAAUCGUUGGUUAUUAAUCGGUUAACUCACUGGGUUCGCGACGAAAUCGGGCCAAAUACCUUCUUCAUUUGGUACAAAAUUUGGGUCGUGUUAUGCACCGGUUAAAGUGAUCGUAAUUCGUCGUAAAUUAUACAUUUCGAGACCAAUGCAUAACAUUUGAAACUUUCGGCACCUAAUACGUUGUAAAUUAUACAUUUCGAGACCAAUACAUAACAUUUGAAAGUUUCGGCACCUAUUAAGUAACCUGUUCGAAUUUUCGAAAUUACCUCAAUAAACGAACUACAACCCGGAUCUAGAAACGGGCUUCUGAAGCAGAGCAGUCAAGUAAACUUCGCCGUUCUUCAAUCCGCCGGAAUCCGUCUUAUUCGCCACCGCCCAUUUCA